Molecule: ribosomal RNA, 465 nt
Filed under: uncultured bacterium
Lineage: Bacteria
Description: partial 16S ribosomal RNA
Rfam family: Bacterial small subunit ribosomal RNA
Source: RNAcentral
GACGAACGCUGGCGGCGUGCUUAACACAUGCAAGUCGAACGGAAAGGCCCUGCUUGCCGGGUACUCGAGUGGCGAACGGGUGAGUAACACGUGGGUGAUCUGCCCUGCACUUCGGGAUAAGCCUGGGAAACUGGGUCUAAUACCGGAUAGGAGCCAUUUUUAGUGUGAUGGUUGGAAAGUUUUUUCGGUGUAGGAUGAGCUCGCGGCCUAUCAGCUUGUUGGUGGGGUAAUGGCCUACCAAGGCGGCGACGGGUAGCCGGCCUGAGAGGGUGGACGGCCACAUUGGGACUGAGGUACGGCCCAGACUCCUACGGGAGGCAGCAGUGGGGAAUAUUGCACAAUGGGCGCAAGCCUGAUGCAGCGACGCCGCGUGGGGGAUGACGGCCUUCGGGUUGGAAACUCCUUUCGCUAGGGACGAAGCUUUUUGUGACGGUACCUAGAGAAGAAGCACCGGCUAACUACGUG